RNAcentral lists this microRNA precursor (57 nucleotides) under Lingula anatina. Lineage: Eukaryota; Metazoa; Brachiopoda; Lingulata; Lingulida; Lingulidae. The record is from RNAcentral.
AUGAUUGUGCGUCUAGUCCAUGUAGCUGUGACAUCAUGACUAGAUCCACACUCAUCC